This is a non-coding RNA of Caenorhabditis elegans, 21 nucleotides long. The record is from Ensembl. Lineage: Eukaryota; Metazoa; Nematoda; Chromadorea; Rhabditida; Rhabditidae.
UUAUAGAAGUCAUUUUGCUCA